UUGGGGGAGAAUUGUGCAGAGGGGGGAGCCCUGCGGAGCACACCAAAUGCUUUGCCCCUGGUAUUUCAUGUUUGCUCUGUCCAGCACUGUUAGUAUUGCAUGUUGGGGAUUUUAUAAUUAAAGGUGAGCCCCACCCUCAGUCGUAGCAUGACAAAGAACUGGAGGGAGGUUUAGAAUUCCUCUCUCUACCCUGGUUGGCGGGGGAAGGG
Chelonia mydas (Green sea turtle) is the source of this 209-nucleotide long non-coding RNA. RefSeq lists it as uncharacterized. The transcript is spliced from 3 exons. The record is from RefSeq and is a predicted model, not a curated record. NCBI's taxonomy places the organism in Eukaryota, Metazoa, Chordata, Testudines, Cheloniidae.